This 484-nucleotide ribosomal RNA is filed under the name uncultured bacterium. RNAcentral describes it as "partial 16S ribosomal RNA". It matches the Rfam family "Bacterial small subunit ribosomal RNA", at positions 30 to 507 of the family's 1533-position model. The record is from RNAcentral.
AUUGAACGCUAGCGGGAUGUUUUAUACAUGCAAGUCGAACGGCAGCGCGGACUUCGGUCUGGCGGCGAGUGGCGAACGGGUGAGUAAUGUAUCGGAACGUGCCCAGUAGCGGGGGAUAACUACGCGAAAGCGUAGCUAAUACCGCAUACGCCCUACGGGGGAAAGCAGGGGAUCGUAAGACCUUGCACUAUUGGAGCGGCCGAUAUCGGAUUAGCUAGUUGGUGAGGUAACGGCUCACCAAGGCGACGAUCCGUAGCUGGUUUGAGAGGACGACCAGCCACACUGGGACUGAGACACGGCCCAGACUCCUACGGGAGGCAGCAGUGGGGAAUUUUGGACAAUGGGGGCAACCCUGAUCCAGCCAUCCCGCGUGUGCGAUGAAGGCCUUCGGGUUGUAAAGCACUUUUGGCAGGAAAGAAACGUCGCGGGCUAAUACCCCGUGGAACUGACGGUACCUGCAGAAUAAGCACCGGCUAACUACGUG